AUUAGUUUUUAUCGAAUUGGGUUCGGUUUGAGAUUCCAGGUUCGGUUUAUUUGCCCCCUAGCGAAGAUGGCUAAAUUGGAUUCCGCCGACUCCGAUCUUGACAGAUCCAUGGUUUCUGGCUGUAUUAAUAAGGUUCGUGUAUGGAAAGCUUCUCUUGGCUUUGCCAUGGUGUGGUGGCCCGUAGGAGGUGCGUGGAGAGCACGAUCAAGUGCUUGCAAGCGGAUUCCGAAGCUUAAAUGCCGGUUAUAGCGAUUUUCGUGAUGGUUGAGUUGUUUUAAGUCCUUGUAGCUUCAAUAAACCGGAAGCUUCUCAUGACUGACAGAGACCUCAACCCUUUGUUUAAUCAUGCAAGUUCUUUGAAUUGCAUUUGUCUUGGCGAGUCAAAUGUAUAUGAUUGAUUUGGAGUUUUGCUUAUGGUCGUGGUGUUUUUUAGCAACAGCCGGCUUGUGGCGUUGAGUUCAAAUCUUAUCUAAAUUGUCGACUUGGUUUAUCUCUCUUUGCUCUUUAGUUCUGAUGUUUCAGACUUGUAACCACCUAUGUUCGGGUUUGUAAUGUGUUUGGUGAAUAAUAAAAUUUUCACAUAACAGAAAAGUACUGCCAAGCACUUGUUCAAUGUUGGCAACCAAAAACACAAAUAACUAAAAGUAAUUUAUUAUAUCAUCCUUGAACUCAUUAAAUGUUUUACGGAAGGAUUAUUCCCACCAAACUACAUGCCAUACACAGCACGGAUCCUUUAUUGCAAUACAAUGGUUGCAUAUGUCCCUUUAUGCCAAUAUUAAUUGGCGCACUUAGUGUCUCCAGGUAAAUGUAAAGCUCACACAUUACAUUUU
Brassica oleracea var. oleracea is the source of this 830-nucleotide long non-coding RNA. RefSeq lists it as uncharacterized. The transcript has 2 exons. The record is from RefSeq and is a predicted model, not a curated record. NCBI's taxonomy places the organism in Eukaryota, Viridiplantae, Streptophyta, Magnoliopsida, Brassicales, Brassicaceae.